CUUAUUGGAGAUCCCUGUAUACCUGAAGCUUUCUGAAGACUGGGAAGGAUGCUCUUCAGUGGAAAACGCACUGUGUGGUCAAAGAGCUGAACAGUCCACAUAGAGCUCCAUUUGUGCAUUCUGCACCGAAGCUGCCUGAUAGACCAUCCUGUGGCUGCAUAGUCUACUAGCUCCUGAAUGUAUCCUGGUAACGUAAUGUUCAAUGUCUGGUGCUUGAACAACAUCAGUUAUGUUUGUAUGGCUUUGUGGCAUGUGGAUAGACACUAAGUCAAUGGUGAGACUUGGGUAGGAGAAAUAUUAUGCUUUUUCACCAUUGUGAUUCAGAAUCUUCUGCAUGUCAAGUAAUAGAUGGGAAUAUAAAAUAUUGAAUCUGCUCAUCUUUUAUGGCCUUGGCAAUAAUAAAAGAUCCCCUCUGUGUAAUGUUAGAGUGCUGAAAUAUAUAUUCAAUAUCUCCCAUAAAUUAGUUAGUGGGUUUUUGUAGAUGUUGAAUUCCAGUUUGAGAAAAGUAGAGGGGAAAAAAAGGAAUUACUUUUUGAACUUAAAAAUUUAUUCAUCCAAGUAAACGUUACAUCCACGUAUGCUUAUGUAACUCGGAUCAAUACUGUAACUUGUCUAUUUCUAAUAUCAGAAUGAUAGAGUGAACACUUUUGAAGAGUUGAAAUGCUAUUGAUUUACGCAGUCAGUACAAUUAAAAUAAAGUAAUUAGAACUCCUUAGGGGUCUGUUGGAGCUGUUUCGAAUGUGCUUCCUCUUGGGUAACAAGGAAUGAAAGAAUGACUGAUUAUGGAUGUGAUAGUCUGUGUACUCAUGCGUGCUGUUAAAAAUCAACUAAAACUUUUUGUUUUGAAACUGAAUGGUUGAAAAUGAUAAAAUGGUUGUAAGAGUUGCAUUAGAUUCCAGCAGAGAUGGAGUAGCAAAGCAAAUUAUUACCUGCUUUUAGAGAUGGGAAAAUUUAGUAUGGUUUAUGUUGAAUAUUGGUAGUGGCCAAGACUCGAAUGCAAGAUUGUGCAGCCCCUCAGCUUGUGCUGGGAACUGUAGCCUCAGAUUCUGCAUUUUCUUUUCCUUAUACUCCACAAUAAUACUGGGUGACCUAAGGGAAGCCACUUCCUAAAGCUGUUCAGAAAGAAAGUAAACACUGCAUAACAGCUGCAAUGAUACUGGUCUUGUGCUAGGGAAGAAAUGAAUCUACUUCAAUAAGAGUAUUUUAUGAAUUAAGAUCUUUCCAGAAUGAGUGCCUGAAAUGAGUUAUGAAAUUCUUUGUUACUCAAGAUUUUGGAACUAUGCAGUCUUCCCAUUCUGGGUGUUUCUUAAAUGAUUUCAUUGCAAGAGGAGCUCUUUCAGGAGAAUUUGUUCUUAGCAUUUGGAAAUUGUUUGAUCUUAAUUGGAAAUUUACCUCGAGAUAUGAGAUAAAAUAAGCUUACGAAUGAGAUGUCCUUGAAAAUAAAAUCAUUUGCACAGACGCUUGCAAACACGAUGCCCUUGCUUGCAAGUUGUGCAGAAGCUUGCAAAUUCCUUUCCACACGGUCUUUAUUAGGUGGAUUGGGAAGUCUGCAACCUCCAAGUUCUUCAGCUAGUUUUGAAAGGAGGAGGGACAAUGCGUCAGGAAGAAUAAAAAGGAGGCUGUGCUUUCUGAUGGUUUGAGGGAAAAGGUCCCCAGUUGGUUCUCCCUUUGUCUGAAUAAAGAAAGCUAAAGACUCUCCUCUGUUUCUUUUUGGGAUUGUAUGGGAACUGCUGAGUCACGGCCUGAACCGCUGAUUGACCAUCUGGAGACAAGAGCCGGUCAGCCCUGGGAGCACAGGUGAAGGCAAUUCAGCUGUGCGACUAGAAGGAGAGCCUGCCUGCACCUCUUUUGGACUUCAUUUAAGGGCUGACUGCCACUGUGGAAGGAUCUUUUGUUGGCGAUCCUUCCUUUGUGGAGUUUCUACUGCAGGCCUAGAACCUUGGAGACAGCAGGAGCUCGUCCUCCUGUCGCCUGAGUUACAUUCCGGAGGGCAGAGCUGGAAGUCAUAUCAGAAACGAAAUACAAAACGUGUUAUGGGACAUGGAGGAGAUCGUGGAGAGGGCACGGACGUGGCGCUGGGUCCUGGAUUCAGGAGAAAAGGUGUUUUUGCAGUUUGCAGCUCCAGAUGCUGUAUGACCUUCUGUUGUUUCUCCAUGAUUUCAGCAUUUGUGGAUAGAAAGGAAAAUAGAACGUGCAGCCUGCAACAAACCUCC
Molecule: long non-coding RNA, 2213 nt
Organism: Gallus gallus (chicken)
Lineage: Eukaryota; Metazoa; Chordata; Aves; Galliformes; Phasianidae
Source: Ensembl